GUUUAUUCUGUUUAUUUUGGAGCCUUUUGAGGAAGGAAGUUAUAAACUCUGACUCAUGGACUCGCCUUUGGGCGGUGGAUCCUGUGCUGGGUGAAGAGCUCUUGGAUAGGACAGAGUUCGGUGACCAGUUGCUGAUGGUGUUUGGCUCCUUGGUGUCUCUCUGGGUAUACCCUUGUCCACCUAGCCCAGGAUUUGCAAAUCAGACACCCUGCUGUUGUCAUCAUGUGCUAGUCUGAGUUUACAUACCCACUUUUGAGAGGAAGAUAAGAGGUCCUCAGUUUUUCUCCUUUUGUGGCUUUCCUCUGUGUCUGGGGAACCAGGCUGUCUGAUCAUGGAGAGGCUCUGGGACCCAAAGACUGACCUGCCUACUUGACGCCAUCAGCAGGCUCUGUAACAACCUUUGAUCAGAGCAUCAAACUGCGUUUCUUUCAUCAACCCAGAGGCUCCCUAAUGCUGGGGUCCACCUCUCUGUCAAACUGGGUAUACCCACGACUGUGACGACAACUUCCACACUAAACAAAGGAGACUGCCUCUCUCCAUCUCUUCUGGAACCAGAUGGACACACAGACAUGUGUGACGUAGGGAGACAUUUUCUGAACCUUGGAGCUUGGAUAUCAUCUCUCUGUAAGAGAUCAGUGUUGUCAGUAUUUCAUGGAAUCUACAUAGGUGAAUGAGUCAACUGGAGAUCUUUCACGUCACAGAGCAAACACCCUCUGAGCAAUAAUAAUAAGUGUGGGUCCAGAAAAUGGGAGUACUGGAAUUGCUGGGCUCAAGAACUGAUCACACACAGGAGUCCAUUUCAGAAGAUUGGCAAGUCUAAAGGGAAGUCAAGUCCAGUUAUCUACUGGAAGCUCAAAGUGGAAACUCAAGCACCAAGCAUGGCACUGUGGGUACUAACAUGGCUGUGGUAGGAAGAGGAUGGGGCCAGUGCCCAUAGCAAGGACAAUAAUUCUAAACAGAAAAAAACUCCUUAACUAUACAGCAAUAGUAAAUAAACUAAAAUAGUUAUAUUACAAUGACUUGUAACCAGUAAUAUUUAUCUCAUUGUUUC
Molecule: long non-coding RNA, 1051 nt
Filed under: Cricetulus griseus (Chinese hamster)
Lineage: Eukaryota; Metazoa; Chordata; Mammalia; Rodentia; Cricetidae
Description: lncRNA (ENSCGRG00015042708.1)
Source: RNAcentral